This 668-nucleotide ribosomal RNA is filed under the name Ferdauia ferdau (blue trevally). RNAcentral's name for it is "partial 12S ribosomal RNA". It matches the Rfam family "Bacterial small subunit ribosomal RNA", at positions 513 to 1491 of the family's 1533-position model. The record is from RNAcentral. Lineage: Eukaryota; Metazoa; Chordata; Actinopteri; Carangiformes; Carangidae.
CACCGCGGUUAUACGAGAGGCUCAAGUCGACAGACGACGGCGUAAAGAGUGGUUAAGGAAAACAUUUAACUAAAGCGGAACACCCUCAUAGCUGUUAUACGCUUCCGAGGGCAUGAACCCCAACUACGAAGGUGGCUUUACACUACCUGAACCCACGAAAGCUAAGAAACAAACUGGGAUUAGAUACCCCACUAUGCUUAGCCUUAAACAUUGAUUGUUUACCACAUCAAACAUCCGCCUGGGAAUUACGAACACUAGUUUAAAACCCAAAGGACUUGGCGGUGCUUAACAUCCACCUAGAGGAGCCUGUUCUAGAACCGAUAACCCCCGUUUAACCUCACCCUCCCUAGUUUUCUCCCGCCUAUAUACCACCGUCGCCAGCUUACCCUGUGAAGGCCUAAUAGUAAGCACAAUUGGCACAGCCCAAAACGUCAGGUCGAGGUGUAGUGCAUGAGAGGGGAAGAAAUGGGCUACAUUCGCUGCCUACCAGCGAAUACGAAUGAUGCAUUGAAAUAUGCAACUGAAGGAGGAUUUAGCAGUAAGUAGAAAGCAGAGUGUUCCACUGAAACCGGCUCUUAAGCGCGCACACACCGCCCGUCACCCUCUCCGAGCAUCUGGCCCCAAAUUUUAUUAAAUCCUAACAACCGCGAAGGAGAGGAAAGUCGUAA